This 748-nucleotide ribosomal RNA is filed under the name uncultured Glomerales. RNAcentral's name for it is "LSU rRNA". It matches the Rfam family "Eukaryotic large subunit ribosomal RNA", at positions 38 to 633 of the family's 3401-position model. Lineage: Eukaryota; Fungi; Glomeromycota; Glomeromycetes; Glomerales; Glomeraceae. The record is from RNAcentral.
GCAUAUCAAUAAGCGGAGGAAAAGAAAAUAACAAUGAUUCCCUUAGUAACGGCGAGUGAAGGGGGAUAAGCUCAAAUUUUAAAUCUGCUAGGUUUUACCUAUCAGAGUUGUAAUUUGAAGAAGCGUUUUCCGCGUCUCGGUUGACCCAAAUCCUUUGGGAUAUGGUAUCAUGGAGGGUGAGAAUCCCGUUCGGUUGACCUUGUGACGCUUUACGAUACGUUUUCUAAGAGUCGAGUUGUUUGGGAUUGCAGCUCAAAAUGGGAGGUAAAUUUCUCCUAAGGCUAAAUAUUGGCGAGAGACCGGUAGCGAACAAGUACCGUGAGGGAAAGAUGAAAAGAACUUUGAAAAGAGAGUAAAAUAGUACGUGAAAUUGUUGAAAGGGAAACGAUUGAAGUCAGUCGUACCGACGGAAAAUCAGCUCUUUAGUGCGGACUUGUGGGCUUACGUGAGUUUUAACACCUCGCUGUUUGCAACGUUCGUGCUUUUUGGGUGUACUUUUUCGUAUGGUAGGCCAAUGUCAGUUUCGAUCGCUAUAAAAUGACCGGCGGAAUGUAGCUUCGAUCUUGUAUUGAAGUGUUAUAGCCUCUGGUAGAUGUGGUGAUCGGGACUGAGGAUUGCAACGAAUACCUUUUGGGCUAUCCGUCUGAUCUCUGAAAGUCGCUUGGGUACCGAAAGCUUGCUUACGGGUCAUUCAAGUUGGCGGUCAAAAGGUUAGAACGUGAUUAAAUUCGUUAAGGAUGUUGACGUA